RNAcentral lists this ribosomal RNA (482 nucleotides) under uncultured bacterium. RNAcentral's name for it is "partial 16S ribosomal RNA". It matches the Rfam family "Bacterial small subunit ribosomal RNA", at positions 39 to 507 of the family's 1533-position model. The record is from RNAcentral.
GGGGGGGGGGGGGGGGGGGGGGGGCGGGGGGGGGUCGGGGGGGAGGGGGGGUUGGGGUGCGGACGGGGGGCGGAGGGGGGAGGAAUACAUAGGAACGGGCCCGGGCGUGGGGGAUAACGAGGCGACAGCUUUGGUAAUACCGCAUACGGGCUACGGAUGCAAGCAGGGGACGGCAAGGCAUUGCGCGGACGGAGCGGCCGAUGGCAGAUUAGGUAGUUGGUGGGCGAAAAGCUUACCAAGCCGACGCUCUGUAGCUGGUCUGGGAGGAUGAUCAGCCACACUGGGACUGAGACACGGCCCAGACUCCUACGGGAGGCAGCAGUGGGGAAUUUUGGACAAUGGGCGCAAGCCUGAUCCAGCCAUGCCGCGUGCAGGAUGAAGGCCUUCGGGUUGUAAACUGCUUUUGUACGGAACGAAAAGCCUUCUUUUAAUACAGGAGGGUCAUGACGGUACCGUAAGAAUAAGCACCGGCUAACUACGUG